CACGUAGGGUGCAAGCGUUGUCCGGAAUCAUUGGGCGUACAGAGCUCGUCGGCGGCUUAGUAAGUCGGGUGUGAAAACCCCAGGCUCAACCUGGGGACGCCACCCGAUACUGCUAUAGCUAGAGUCCAGUAGGGGAGUGUGGAAUUCCCAGUGUAGCGGUGAAAUGCGCAGAUAUUGGGAGGAACACCAGCGGCGAAGGCGGCACUCUGGGCUGGUACUGACGCUGAGGAGCGAAAGCGUGGGUAGCGAACAGG
RNAcentral lists this ribosomal RNA (254 nucleotides) under uncultured bacterium. RNAcentral describes it as "partial 16S ribosomal RNA". It matches the Rfam family "Bacterial small subunit ribosomal RNA", at positions 524 to 776 of the family's 1533-position model. The record is from RNAcentral.